CCUACGGGUGGCUGCAGUGAGGAAUAUUCGUCAAUGGGCGCGAGCCUGAACCAGCAAAGUAGCGUGAAGGAUGACUGCCCUACGGGCUGUAAACUUCUUUUAUAAAGGAAUAAAGUGAGGCACGUGUGCCUUUUUGUAUGUACUUUAUGAAUAAGGAUCGGCUAACUCCGUGCCAGCAGCCGCGGUAAUACGGAGGAUCCGAGCGUUAUCCGGAUUUAUUGGGUUUAAAGGGAGCGUAGAUGGGUUGUUAAGUCAGUUGUGAAAGUUUGCGGCUCAACCGUAAAAUUGCAAUUGAAACUGGCAGACUUGAGUGCAGAUGAGGUAGGCGGAAUUCGUGGUGUAGCGGUGAAAUGCUUAGAUAUCACGAAGAACACCGAUUGCGAAGGCAGCCUACUAAUCUGCCACUGACAUUGAUGCUCGAAAGUGUGGGUAUCAAACAGGAUUAGAUACCCGGGUAGUC
This 460-nucleotide ribosomal RNA is filed under the name uncultured bacterium. Its description in RNAcentral is "partial 16S ribosomal RNA". It matches the Rfam family "Bacterial small subunit ribosomal RNA", at positions 338 to 795 of the family's 1533-position model. The record is from RNAcentral.